GAACGCUAGCUACAGGCUUAACACAUGCAAGUCGAGGGGCAGCAUUUCAGUUUGCUUGCAAACUGGAGAUGGCGACCGGCGCACGGGUGAGUAACACGUAUCCAACCUGCCGAUAACUCGGGGAUAGCCUUUCGAAAGAAAGAUUAAUACCCGAUGGUAUAAUCAGACCGCAUGGUCUUGUUAUUAAAGAAUUUCGGUUAUCGAUGGGGAUGCGUUCCAUUAGGCAGUUGGUGAGGUAACGGCUCACCAAACCUUCGAUGGAUAGGGGUUCUGAGAGGAAGGUCCCCCACAUUGGAACUGAGACACGGUCCAAACUCCUACGGGAGGCAGCAGUGAGGAAUAUUGGUCAAUGGGCGCAGGCCUGAACCAGCCAAGUAGCGUGAAGGAUGACUGCCCUAUGGGUUGUAAACUUCUUUUAUAUGGGAAUAAAGUUUUCCACGUGUGGAAUUUUGUAUGUACCAUAUGAAUAAGGAUCGGCUAACUCCGUGCCAGCAGCCGCGGUAAUACGGAGGAUCCGAGCGUUAUCCGGAUUUAUUGGGUUUAAAGGGAGCGUAGGUGGACAGUUAAGUCAGUUGUGAAAGUUUGCGGCUCAACCGUAAAAUUGCAGUUGAUACUGGCUGUCUUGAGUACAGUAGAGGUGGGCGGAAUUCGUGGUGUAGCGGUGAAAUGCUUAGAUAUCACGAAGAACUCCGAUUGCGAAGGCAGCUCACUGGACUGCAACUGACACUGAUGCUCGAAAGUGUGGGUAUCAAACAGGAUUAGAUACCCUGGUAGUCCACACAGUAAACGAUGAAUACUCGCUGUUUGCGAUAUACAGUAAGCGGCCAAGCGAAAGCAUUAAGUAUUCCACCUGGGGAGUACGCCGGCAACGGUGAAACUCAAAGGAAUUGACGGGGGCCCGCACAAGCGGAGGAACAUGUGGUUUAAUUCGAUGAUACGCGAGGAACCUUACCCGGGCUUAAAUUGCAUUUGAAUAUAUUGGAAACAGUAUAGCCGUAAGGCAAAUGUGAAGGUGCUGCAUGGUUGUCGUCAGCUCGUGCCGUGAGGUGUCGGCUUAAGUGCCAUAACGAGCGCAACCCUUAUCUUUAGUUACUAACAGGUCAUGCUGAGGACUCUAGAGAGACUGCCGUCGUAAGAUGUGAGGAAGGUGGGGAUGACGUCAAAUCAGCACGGCCCUUACGUCCGGGGCUACACACGUGUUACAAUGGGGGGUACAGAAGGCAGCUACCUGGUGACAGGAUGCUAAUCCCAAAAGCCUCUCUCAGUUCGGAUCGAAGUCUGCAACCCGACUUCGUGAAGCUGGAUUCGCUAGUAAUCGCGCAUCAGCCAUGGCGCGGUGAAUACGUUCCCGGGCCUUGUACACACCGCCCGUCAAGCCAUGAAAGCCGGGGGUACCUGAAGUACGUAACCGCAAGGAGCGUCCUAGGGUAAAACUGGUAAUUGGGGCUAAGU
RNAcentral lists this ribosomal RNA (1452 nucleotides) under uncultured organism. RNAcentral's name for it is "SSU rRNA". It matches the Rfam family "Bacterial small subunit ribosomal RNA". The record is from RNAcentral.